Molecule: long non-coding RNA, 3631 nt
Filed under: Nicotiana tabacum (common tobacco)
Lineage: Eukaryota; Viridiplantae; Streptophyta; Magnoliopsida; Solanales; Solanaceae
Description: long non-coding RNA (NTAB_LNC007562)
Source: RNAcentral
GCCAAACCCUUAUUUUUCUAAUUAUCUUUUCCUUUCCCACACUUCUCUCUUCUCUCUCACUGCUCACGUUCCUCCUCUCUUCUAGUGGCGUCUGUAGUGGCUUUGACUGGACGACGACGCAGGUGUGUCUCUCUCUCCGUCACAUUUUAAAUAUUCCUAUAAAAAAAAUACAAAACAGAACAAAGAGGUUUCAAUCACAGAAUACAAACGGAGUCAAAAUAUGUAGGCAGUUUAAUUAAUAUUUAUGUAUCUCGUGGAUUUCUCAACGAACUAAAUCUGCAAUUGAUCUAAUUUUGAGUUUGGCCUUUCUUUGUUUUUAUCUUCCACAAUUUUGGUUUCGGCUUUUCUUCAUUAAGUCGCAAGUUAAUUUCUAAACUAUGAUUAAAUCCAAAUUCAAGGAUUUUAGCGGUGGGAGGGUGGGGUAAUGUUGGGGUGGCUAAUAAGCAAAAUAUAAGAUGGAUAGAUUUUGGUUUGAGGUUUUUGACUUUUCCUCAGUGAAAACUUUUUUCACUUUUCAUGGCUCUAUGGGUUUUCAACCCUUUUUACUGUUAUUCAAUUCUAAUUGGUACACUUUUAAUGGAUUCAUUUACUCGUCAUACAAUUAAUCAUAAGUCCAUUUCAACGCAAAUUGCAUUUGGCUAAUCCUAAAACAAAAAGAGGGCAAACGAUUAGAUUAAUUGAACCUUUGAAAAGGUUGUGAGACUCGAUAAGUCGUUUUGACGAGGAGUUAUUAAUACAAUAUCGGUAUGUCAUAUCUUUGUGGAAUGUAUUUUUUUUAAUCUUCUAUAAGAUAUUAUCCAUUAUAAAAUGGAAUCAAAAGUGUGUUGUUUAUGUUUCUUGGUGAUUUGUGUUUUAAAACUUUUUGUCGUCUUUUAUAUAGAUUUGUAUUUUUUUAAAAAUGAAAUAGGGGACAUAUCUGUCGUUUGGUUUAAUUUAAUGACUACUUUUUGACAUGGAUAUAAUUUUUCUCCAAUUCCACCAAAUUUUUUAGCGUUACCUUUUCUCCUGUAUGAUUAAGAUUUUCUUGUAAGAUGCCAACAUUUUCUAGAACUCAAAAGCAUGCACAUACCCCUAAGAUUCUGAUUUUGAUUAACCUCUUAGAAUGACUAAUAUAAAUACUUGAUAAAGAAGUACCUAUAAUUCUGUGGAAGGAUUGAAAUUGCAAUGUAUCCUUACAGUCAUGUGUUUCUUCUUGCGUUGCGGUCCCAUUAUGGUAAUUAAUUGGUAUAAACACUGGGCAUGGGUAAUCCUAGUUAUUUUGAAAUACAAGAAAAUGAAUAACCGGGAGUAAAUUUUUAGCAACUUUGAGCUACAUCGUAUAUUAAGAGUCUGUUUACUAAAAGUUAUUCUUUUGAGUUACUUCAUAUAUUAUUACGAUUACAGAAGGCUCAACUAUAUAUUAUCGCUAUUUUUGAAAGCCCAGAGUGAGAAUUUUUUGGAAGGGGUAAACUUAUUAGGCAAUGUGGAAAGUGAGGCAAGUUAUGGUUUUUGUUACCUGAAGUAACCUAGAAUAGCUAAUUAGGCAACUUAAUGGUUUUUUUACAUUGGGGUGUGUGUGUUUAUUUGACUCGACUUUUAUAUAUAAAAGCUAAAAAUUUCUUAUUUAUACCGAGUCAUGAUUUGCAUUAUCUAUAAUUGCAAUCUGUAUAUCUAGUAACAUACCUUUCCAAUGGAUCUAAUAUCUGUUACAAAUUUUUUUAUGCCUUUGACAAUAUUUACUUCCUUAACUUACCUAAUGAUGCCCCGCAAUGUGAAAUUGGACAGCUAAUUGUUCAUAUUGCAGCAAAUAAAGGCUAAAGGCGAAUUCUAAGUUCAAAGUGUUUAGCCUAUGUUGCUCAAUAUGCAUUACAAUUAUUAAUCUCAAAUUAUGUCCAUGUUUGUGCUUGAAAGACUAUUUUAGGGAUUGAUCUGGUGUCUUUUAGCUCUAUUUUUGAUGAAUUAAGUCUAUCUAAAAGAAAAACAUGCUUAGUUAUGUUCUUGUAAGGCACUAGGCCUCUGUUGAAAUUUAUGAAUGAGAGUAUGUUUGUAUGAAUGUCCACUACCAACUCUCUUGACAUUUUAAGAUGGCUUAGAAUGCCAUUCCAUAACUUUGAAAACAUCUUUGAUAUAGUAAAUAUGUUAACAAUUUUUAUUUUGUGACUCUCCCUUUGAUCUUGUUGGUUAUGGAUUGACUUUGAAAAAACAAAAGAGCCUAUGGUUCUGUCCACUAUCAAUUCCAGCUUUAUAACACAACUCUCCACAUCACUUUUUGAGCUCAGUCAGAAUAAUUCUGGAUACAGUAACUUCUGUUUGAAAAUGUUGAUAAGAAAUUUACCUACAUAUUUAUUUGGUGUUACUUUUUAUUCUAUGUUCACUCAUAUAUGCCAUCUUGAUUUUGUAGAAGACUGAAAGAGUACAAAGGCUGAUAAUUAAAGAAAGUGUGAUGACCCAAAAGGUCAUCACUUGUUUUAAAAACGAAUUAUGCGUUCCGAAGCCUUAAAAAUAAAACUCUUUUAGUCUUAUCUCGAUUUGCGUGCGCAAUUCGGUCGCGUAGCCGGGAAGCCACUUUUGUGAAAAUCUAUGAAAAACGAUGAAUUUUGCCUUUAAAAUGAGUUUGAGUUGACUUCGGUCAACAUUUUGGGUAAACGGAUCCGGACCCAUGAUUUGACAGUCCCGGAGGAUCCGUAGGAAAAUAUGGGACUUUGGCGUAUGCCCGGAAUCGAAUUCCUAGGUCCCAAUUGUUACGCCCCAUAAUAUUACGUCGAUAUUACAUCCCGCAGUGUUAUAUUACGACGAUGUUGCACCCUGUAGUAUUGUACGUUGAAGUUGUCGUAAGGUAAUUGACAUCAGUCUAAGGGAAAGAUUAUUUGAAGAUUAUAAGGAUUAUACUAUUUCAAAUGAGUGAUGAGAAAAUUCGUGAAAGUGAGAGCGGAAGAAAGUCAAAGAAAAUGAAUUUUCGUCCAAGUUUGGCAUGUUGGGGGUACAAUUUAGGCCGAGCGUUAAUACCCCAUAUUUAUGAACUAGUACCAUGCAAUGUACCAUAUGACCACGGUAUUAUAAUAUAUAAAGUAUAUAUGAAAUAUUUUAAAAAUAAAUAAAAUUUUAAGUAAUUUGUGGUAAUUUUUAAAUUAUGCGGGUAUGGAUUAAUUACCGGGUAACAAAUCAUUACCUGGUUAACUAAUAAGUGGAUAAAAAUAAUAAUAAUUAAGAACCCUCCCACGUGGCAUAAAGCCACAAUGUCCAAACAUGACUCAUAAGUCAUUAAUUCCAUGUGACUAUAUAUGAAAUAAUGACUCAAAGCUAAGUCUUAGAAAGACUUGUCCAAUAUGCCUCUAACCUUCAUUUUAGUAUCUUUGGUUGAAUAAAUUUUGUUACUUUGGCUUGAAACCAAAUUGUAGCUAAAGCAGACCAUUCAAAUUUCAACCCAAAUGAUUCUUCAAGAAUCAUAAAUGCUUUUCUUCUUAAAUUUCAAACAAAGAAAAUGUUAGAACUAAGUUAAGAAGUAGAUUGCAUCUCAUUCUUUUUUUGGUCUUAAAGCCAAAAGUACGCUAGAAGAGGAAGGAGAUUUCGUUCCAAUUUCAAAAUCCAAGUAUAAGUUCCGUUCAAGAAUUUCGCAGAAGAAGAUUCAUUCAAAUAAUUCAAAAAAUAGGUA